GUGAAUCAUCGAAUUUUUGAACGCAAAUUGCGCUCUCUGGCAUCCCGGGAAGUAUGUCUGUUCGAGGGUCAGUAUUAAUAAAAAAUCGGCUUAGUUACAAAUUGUGACGUUUCCGGAGUUUGGGUUAUAUUAACAUUUUUGGUUAAGAGGCUUAAAAUUGAUUUUUUUUGCGUAUUUUUUAAUGUACAUAAAUUUUUUUAUUCGUUUAUUUUUAAUGCUAAACUCUUAUUAGAUGCGAUCACAUAGCG
This 248-nucleotide unclassified non-coding RNA is filed under the name Glomeraceae sp. Its description in RNAcentral is "partial internal transcribed spacer 2". The stretch from base 1 to 71 matches the Rfam family "5.8S ribosomal RNA", at positions 84 to 154 of the family's 154-position model. The record is from RNAcentral. Lineage: Eukaryota; Fungi; Glomeromycota; Glomeromycetes; Glomerales; Glomeraceae.